Molecule: ribosomal RNA, 404 nt
Filed under: uncultured bacterium
Lineage: Bacteria
Description: partial 16S ribosomal RNA
Rfam family: Bacterial small subunit ribosomal RNA
Source: RNAcentral
GAUGAACGCUGACAGAAUGCUUAACACAUGCAAGUCAACUGUGGCGGACGGGUGAGUAACGCGUAAAGCACUUGCCUCACGGAUAGGGCCAACAUUUGGAAACGAAUGCUAAUACCUGAUACUGUGAGAGAGCUUUGCGUCCCAUUAGCUAGUUGGAGAGGUAACGGCUCACAAAGGCGAUGAUGGGUAGCCGGCCUGGGAGGGUGAUCGGCCACAAGGGGACUUGGACACGGGCCUUACUCCUACGGGAGGCAGCAGUGGGGAAUAUUGGACAAUGGACCAAAGUCUGAUCCAGCAAUUCUGUGUGCACGAUGAAGUUUUCGCAAUGGAAAGUGCUGUCAGUGAGGAAGCGGUACCAACAGAAGAAGUGACGGCUAAAUACGUGCCAGCAGCCGCGGUAAUUC